This 433-nucleotide ribosomal RNA is filed under the name uncultured bacterium. RNAcentral's name for it is "partial 16S ribosomal RNA". It matches the Rfam family "Bacterial small subunit ribosomal RNA", at positions 29 to 507 of the family's 1533-position model. The record is from RNAcentral.
AGCGAACGCUGGCGGCAGGCUUAACACAUGCAAGUCGAGCGGGCCCUUCGGGGUCAGCGGCCGACGGGUGAGUAACACGUGGGAACGUACCCUUUGGUUCGGAAUAACGCUGGGAAACUAGCGCUAAUACCGGAUACGCCCUUUUGGGGAAAGGCUUGCUGCCGAAGGAUCGGCCCGCGUCUGAUUAGCUAGUUGGUGGGGUAAUGGCCUACCAAGGCGACGAUCAGUAGCUGGUCUGAGAGGAUGAUCAGCCACACUGGGACUGAGACACGGCCCAGACUCCUACGGGAGGCAGCAGUGGGGAAUAUUGGACAAGGGGCGCAAGCCUGAUCCAGCCAUGCCGCGUGAGUGAUGAAGGCCUUAGGGUUGUAAAGCUUUUUUGUCCGGGACGAUAAUGACGGUACCGGAAGAAUAAGCCCCGGCUAACUUCGUG